This 1299-nucleotide ribosomal RNA is filed under the name Psychrobacter sp. Its description in RNAcentral is "bacterial SSU rRNA". It matches the Rfam family "Bacterial small subunit ribosomal RNA", at positions 60 to 1353 of the family's 1533-position model. The record is from RNAcentral. Lineage: Bacteria; Pseudomonadati; Pseudomonadota; Gammaproteobacteria; Moraxellales; Moraxellaceae.
AGUCGAGCGGUACAUUUCUAGCUUGCUAGAAGAUGACGAGCGGCGGACGGGUGAGUAAUACUUAGGAAUCUACCUAGUAGUGGGGGAUAGCUCGGGGAAACUCGAAUUAAUACCGCAUACGACCUACGGGAGAAAGGGGGCAACUUGUUGCUCUCGCUAUUAGAUGAGCCUAAGUCGGAUUAGCUAGAUGGUGGGGUAAAGGCCUACCAUGGCGACGAUCUGUAGCUGGUCUGAGAGGAUGAUCAGCCACACCGGGACUGAGACACGGCCCGGACUCCUACGGGAGGCAGCAGUGGGGAAUAUUGGACAAUGGGGGAAACCCUGAUCCAGCCAUGCCGCGUGUGUGAAGAAGGCCUUUUGGUUGUAAAGCACUUUAAGCAGUGAAGAAGACUCUUCGGUUAAUACCCGGAGACGAUGACAUUAGCUGCAGAAUAAGCACCGGCUAACUCUGUGCCAGCAGCCGCGGUAAUACAGAGGGUGCAAGCGUUAAUCGGAAUUACUGGGCGUAAAGCGAGCGUAGGUGGCUUGAUAAGUCAGAUGUGAAAUCCCCGGGCUUAACCUGGGAACUGCAUCUGAUACUGUCAGGCUAGAGUAGGUGAGAGGAAGGUAGAAUUCCAGGUGUAGCGGUGAAAUGCGUAGAGAUCUGGAGGAAUACCGAUGGCGAAGGCAGCCUUCUGGCAUCAUACUGACACUGAGGCUCGAAAGCGUGGGUAGCAAACAGGAUUAGAUACCCUGGUAGUCCACGCCGUAAACGAUGUCUACUAGUCGUUGGGUCCCUUGAGGACUUAGUGACGCAGCUAACGCAAUAAGUAGACCGCCUGGGGAGUACGGCCGCAAGGUUAAAACUCAAAUGAAUUGACGGGGGCCCGCACAAGCGGUGGAGCAUGUGGUUUAAUUCGAUGCAACGCGAAGAACCUUACCUGGUCUUGACAUAUCUAGAAUCCUGCAGAGAUGCGGGAGUGCCUUCGGGAAUUAGAAUACAGGUGCUGCAUGGCUGUCGUCAGCUCGUGUCGUGAGAUGUUGGGUUAAGUCCCGCAACGAGCGCAACCCUUGUCCUUAGUUACCAGCGGGUUAAGCCGGGAACUCUAAGGAUACUGCCAGUGACAAACUGGAGGAAGGCGGGGACGACGUCAAGUCAUCAUGGCCCUUACGACCAGGGCUACACACGUGCUACAAUGGUAGGUACAGAGGGCAGCUACACAGCGAUGUGAUGCGAAUCUCAAAAAGCCUAUCGUAGUCCAGAUUGGAGUCUGCAACUCGACUCCAUGAAGUAGGAAUCGCUAGUAAUCGCGGAUCAGA